RNAcentral lists this ribosomal RNA (230 nucleotides) under uncultured bacterium. RNAcentral describes it as "partial 16S ribosomal RNA". It matches the Rfam family "Bacterial small subunit ribosomal RNA", at positions 107 to 334 of the family's 1533-position model. The record is from RNAcentral.
UGAGUAACACGUAAGUAAUCUACCUUCGAGUGGGGAAUAACGUCCGGAAACGGACGCUAAUACCGCAUAAUGCAGCGGCAUCGCAAGAUGACAGUUGUUAAAGAAUUUAUUCGCUUGAAGAGGAGCUUGCGGCAGAUUAGCUAGUUGGUAAGGUAACGGCUUACCAAGGCUACGAUCUGUAACCGGUCUUAGAGGACGGUCGGUCACACUGACACUGAAUAACGGGUCAG